This 631-nucleotide ribosomal RNA is filed under the name Acinetobacter sp. Ri1Ps_4787. RNAcentral's name for it is "bacterial SSU rRNA". It matches the Rfam family "Bacterial small subunit ribosomal RNA", at positions 382 to 1004 of the family's 1533-position model. The record is from RNAcentral. Lineage: Bacteria; Pseudomonadati; Pseudomonadota; Gammaproteobacteria; Moraxellales; Moraxellaceae.
CCUGAUCCAGCCAUGCCGCGUGUGUGAAGAAGGCCUUUUGGUUGUAAAGCACUUUAAGCGAGGAGGAGGCUACUUGGAUUAAUACUCUAGGAUAGUGGACGUUACUCGCAGAAUAAGCACCGGCUAACUCUGUGCCAGCAGCCGCGGUAAUACAGAGGGUGCGAGCGUUAAUCGGAUUUACUGGGCGUAAAGCGUGCGUAGGCGGCUUUUUAAGUCGGAUGUGAAAUCCCUGAGCUUAACUUAGGAAUUGCAUUCGAUACUGGGAAGCUAGAGUAUGGGAGAGGAUGGUAGAAUUCCAGGUGUAGCGGUGAAAUGCGUAGAGAUCUGGAGGAAUACCGAUGGCGAAGGCAGCCAUCUGGCCUAAUACUGACGCUGAGGUACGAAAGCAUGGGGAGCAAACAGGAUUAGAUACCCUGGUAGUCCAUGCCGUAAACGAUGUCUACUAGCCGUUGGGGCCUUUGAGGCUUUAGUGGCGCAGCUAACGCGAUAAGUAGACCGCCUGGGGAGUACGGUCGCAAGACUAAAACUCAAAUGAAUUGACGGGGGCCCGCACAAGCGGUGGAGCAUGUGGUUUAAUUCGAUGCAACGCGAAGAACCUUACCUGGUCUUGACAUAGUAAGAACUUUCCAGA